CUUUAUUAAAAAUAUAGCAUGUUUGUAUGUAUGACUUAUUAGUCAAUACAUCCAUUUAUAUUUAUUUUAUUGAUAAAUAGUCAGAUUCAUAUACUUACAUUUAUUUGUCAUUUCUAUCUAUAGAGAGGAAGGAUCUAAAGAAAAUGCAUUGCUAACACAUUUAGAAAGCCCAAGAUUUCUCUGAAAGCUGAAAAGCUUUCAAGGUCACUUCAACUUGCCAUUGCUGAAGUGGAUGUUGAUUAUUUCAAAUACCUGAAACACAUGAGUUAAGUUUCCUCUAUUGCUGACUCCAAAUUUGAGCUCUUUCUUGUGUUGUGACUAUGAUUAUAUGCUGAUAAUGUGAACUAAGCCAAGGCAAUAAGUGUUUAACUGGUGCAUCUUCUUACUGAAACCCCUUACCAAGUCCCAGAAUAAUAAGUUUUCUUGAUAUGAAGUGCCAAAAUUAAUGAACCUUUCACUUCUGGAUCCAUUGAUCUAUAAGAUUUAGGGAAGGAUCAAAUUAUAGCAAUAUUUAUAAACCUAUCUCUUCUAUUUGUGAACUAAUGUGAUCCAGAGAUAUUAUUUGUUCAAGAUAGUCAUGCACACACACACACACACACACACACAACUAGUGAGAGUAGUUAAGAUUAAAAUGUAAUGGCCUCUCUCUCUUAAUCCCAUAAUUGUUCUCUUUGCAUUCCCAAGUUACCAUAAAAGUAUGUCUCAGUGCCUAUAAAUGUGAAUGUCUAUUGGCAUUGCUUAGUGUCUACAUGAUGGUACAUUCUGUGAAAGAACUUCAACCUUUGAAGGUAUGCAAUAAAUAAAGGGUAAAACUUGCUAACAUUUCUCUCUGGUUUAAAUAUUUUAGGAGUUGAAGUUUAGUAGAUUAAAAUGGGCUCUCAUUUAAGUGAAAUGCAACCAUCAAAAGGUACCUGAUUCUCAACCACUCCUUUAUUAAAUCCUAUAGAUUACAAUUCUUCAUAAGGAUAUUUCAUGUAAAAUAUGUAUUGAUUUUGCCUGUGGCUGGAUAUAAAAACAAAUAAUUAUGCCCAGUGAUAUAUUAUUAUAUUAUGGAUAUAAGAACAGAACAGACCAUUUAAAAUGUUUGAUUUCAAAAU
RNAcentral lists this long non-coding RNA (1097 nucleotides) under Marmota monax (woodchuck). Lineage: Eukaryota; Metazoa; Chordata; Mammalia; Rodentia; Sciuridae. The record is from RNAcentral.